Molecule: non-coding RNA, 75 nt
Organism: Bombyx mori (domestic silkworm)
Lineage: Eukaryota; Metazoa; Arthropoda; Insecta; Lepidoptera; Bombycidae
Source: Rfam
UUAACUCAAAUUUGUAUGGAGUUGGAACGUUUGCCUAAGUUUGCCGCUGUUCCAAUUGCAUACAAAUUUGAGUUA